GUCUGGUCGAACGUCGAACUGAACUCAAUCCCUACGUUUUUCGUAUCUUCCUUUGUUUUUUUGUUUUUUUAUAGUCCAAAUAAAUAAUUCGUUUUAAUCUAUACAUAGCUGUGUUUUCCCGACCACCUUGCGGUGUAGUAAGCACAGAGGGGAAUCCUACUGAGCUGCCUUGACGCAACCUGAGCACGGUGGAAAUGGGAGAUGGAGAACAGAUAUGUAUACUGGCGUUUUUGAAAUUAGAAUGUUGUAAUAAAAGAAUUGUGUUGAUAUA
Xiphophorus couchianus (Monterrey platyfish) is the source of this 271-nucleotide long non-coding RNA. RefSeq lists it as uncharacterized. Lineage: Eukaryota; Metazoa; Chordata; Actinopteri; Cyprinodontiformes; Poeciliidae. The record is from RefSeq and is a predicted model, not a curated record. The transcript is spliced from 2 exons.